This is an RNA transcript of Magnolia sinica, 2480 nucleotides long. It is a transcript of the gene named putative clathrin assembly protein At5g57200, with no coding region annotated. The transcript is spliced from 16 exons. Lineage: Eukaryota; Viridiplantae; Streptophyta; Magnoliopsida; Magnoliales; Magnoliaceae. The record is from RefSeq and is a predicted model, not a curated record.
AAAGAGAAAAGAAAGAGAGAAGAAGAACAUCGGAAAGAGGAAGAAAUCUAGGGUUGGUUUUUUUUUUUUUCUUCCUUUUAUUCAGCGAGAGAGGGGGAUGGGAACGCUCAAGAGCUUGAGAAAAGCGUACGGAGCCCUCAAAGAUUCCACCACAGUCGGGCUUGCCAAAGUCAACAGCGAUUUCAAGGAAUUAGAUAUUGCGAUCGUGAAAGUGACCAACCACUCUGAAAAUCCACCCAAGGAACGAUAUGUUCGAAAAAUAUUUCAUGCAACCUCUGUAGUUCGUCCACGUGCCGAUAUUGCUUAUUGCAUACAUGCACUUGCAAGGAGAUUGGCAAAGACCCGUAACUGGACGGUUGCAUUGAAAACAUUAUUAGUUAUCCACAGGAUGUUGAGAGAGGGUGAUCCUACCUUCAGAGAUGAGCUGCUAAACUACUCCCGCAGAGGACAGAUUCUUCAAAUAUCUAAUUUUAAGGAUGACUCAAGUCCUCUUGCUUGGGAUUGCUCUGCAUGGGUUCGCACAUAUGCACUCUUCCUAGAGGAACGACUUGAGUGUUUUAGGAUAUUAAAAUAUGAUAUCGAAGCAGAGCGUUUAAAGAAAUCUGCACCAGGGUCGGCCAAGCAUAGUAGAACCAGAAAUUUGGGUUGUGAGGAUCUGUUGGAGCAGUUGCCUGCUUUACAGCAACUACUGUAUCGUCUUGUUGGCUGUCAGCCUGAAGGAGGAGCUUUCAACAACCAUCUCGUACAGUAUGCCUUAGCUCUGGUAUUGAAGGAGAGUUUUAAAAUAUAUUGUUCCAUGAAUGAUGGAAUUAUCAAUCUUGUGGAUAUGUUUUUUGAUAUGUCAAGACAUGAUGCCGUCAAAGCCCUCAACAUUUAUAAAAGAGCAGGCCACCAGGCACAAAAUCUUGCUGAUUUUUACGAGUUUUGCAAAGGCUUGGAGCUUGCUAGAAAUUUCCAAUUUCCAACUUUGAGACAGCCACCUCCUUCAUUUCUUACAACAAUGGAGGAAUAUAUAAGAGAGGCACCUUGUACGGGUUCUGUUGCAAAUCAGAGACUGGAGUACCAGGAUAGGGACCUUGUAGUGACAUGCAAACCAGCAGAAGAUUCUCCUCCUCCUGAGAGUCCAAAACCCACCGUAGAAGAUGAUGAAGAACCUGCCGAAGAGAUACAAGAACCUCCUCAGCUCAACAUUGAGCCUGCACUUCAACCACCCAUGCCAGCUGCAGACACUGGAGAUUUGUUGGGCUUGAACGAGAUUAAUCCCGAUGCCGCUGCAAUUGAGGAAAGCAACGCAAUGGCUCUUGCCAUAGUACCACCUGGAGAUGAUUCGAAGCCUCGUGGAUUGUCAUUGAGUGGGUUGGGUUCUUCGGGAUGGGAGCUAGCACUGGUUUCAACUCCUAGUAGCAAUAGCAGCCACCUGACCGAAAGCAAAUUGGCUGGUGGUUUUAACAAGCUGUUGCUCGAUAGCUUGUAUGAUGAAGCAGAAGUGAGGAGACAACAACAGAAUGUGGGGUAUGGUGUUGCAAUGAACGCUAAUCCGUUCGACUCGCAGGACCCGUUCUCCAUGUCGAACGGCAUUGCUCCCCCACCCAACGUGCAGAUGGCCUUAAUGGCUCAGCAGCAGCAGCAGCAUAUGAUGUCGAUGAUGAUGGUCCCGCAUCCAUACCCAACUCAUCAUCACCAUCCUCAGCAGCAGCAGCAGAUGCAAAUGGGGACCAUCAACCCGUUUGGAGACCCAUUCACCGGUGUCCCGCAGAGCGCACCGCAGGGAAAUCCCAGUUUGCUCUAAUCAAAUUCCAUUUACCUCAAUUGCUUUAUAUUCUCUGAUUCUUUUAUUCCAUUGGAGGGGAGGGGUUGAGGGGUGUUCCAGUCUUGUAAAGUUGGUUUUGAGUCUGUAUGCAUUUUGCUGGGAGGACUCAUAGUCUACAAUCUGUUGUAUGCUACAACCCUCUUUUUUCUUUUUCUUUUUUUCUUUUUUUGGUUUCCAAUUUGCCUAUGCUUUGUAGAAAAGGGUUGUAGGUCGAGAUAAGCUACAACUGGUUGUAGAUGAUCUGUUCUCUUCUCCUACAGUGAAUGUAAAUUUUUUUUAUUUUUUUUGGAGUGUGGAGUUACUGAUCAUUGGUUGGACUUAUCCAUGUAUUCCUUCCUCUCUUCUCCCAAAUGCUUCUGAAUAUCGUUGUGCACCUUUUCUUUUCUGUAGAGUUGCAAAAUGCAGUUGUUGUGAAUGACUUUUCAUGUUCUACUUUUAACAGCGUCUGCUCUUGAUUGGAAGCAUGUUGGGCGCCCCGACGCCUGCAUAUUGGACAGUUGAGGAAAUUUGCAGAACUGUAAUGACAUGGGUGUUUUCUCAAGCCAUUAGGAUCAUCGAAAUUAUGGGCUACAUUGCAAUCAAACCGAUCAAGCAGUCCUAACCAUCCAAUAUAUAGCAAUCAAAUUGAUGGAUAAGGUAAAAUGGACGUGGAUUGGCUGAUGACCUCGAC